CCCAAGCUGAAAGAUGCAUCCUUUUUCCUCUGGAAAGGCAAUCAUGAAAGUGGAAUGGAAAAGCCAACAGUCUCUUAAAGAAAAGUCACAGCAUCCAGAGGGGCUGCCAGCCUAAUAAAUUGUUUGUUGAACUGGUUUGGCUGAUGAGGUUGACAAGGCAACAUGAAGCUUAAAAAGGAAAUCUGCCAAGGUGGCCGAUAUGCCUGAGGCUCAGGCUGCCUCUGGUGCCUCCAUCAGGCAUGAUGAAAUUCUCAGAAGCCCCACAUGGUCUGCUGGAAGCAAAGGCAGAAUUCACUGACCAUGUCAGUUGGAGAUCUCGCCCGGCCCCUUCCAACCUCAGGCAAUCCUGAUCUUGGGGCCCAGGAGGGUCUUUGCUAAUUAGCGCUGCACCUGGCUGCACCGUCUCUCAGAGGAUGGCCAGGUGGAGACAUCUCAAAUGAGAGGCUGGAGUCCUGAGCCAGAACGCAUGCAUAUAGUGGGCUUUUUUACUCACUAGAUAUGGCCCUUAGAAUCACUUGUGUGUUAAAAAGAUUUUUCUAAGUUGACUGUUGUUGUCCAUGUACUGUAUUGUAAAAGGAGCCUCCCUGGUGGCUCAGCGGUAAAGAAUCCACCUGCCAGUGCAGGAGACAUGGGUUCGAUCCCUGGGUCAGGAAGAUCCCCUGGAGAAGGAAAUGGCAGCCCACUCCAGUAUUCUUGCCUGGGAAAUCCCAUGGGCAAAGGGAGCCUGGCAGGCUGUGGUCCAUGGGGUUGCAAAGAGCAGGACGUGACUUAGAGGCUAAGUAAGAACAAUGACAAUACAGUAAAAGAAUCCUAUGGCAAAUUCUUUUGUAAAGUAAGGAAUGCUUUUGGAGAGCUGCUUUCUCUUCUGCAAUUAUGGGGUGGAGUCUGGUGCACAAGGAGCUCUCAGCAAAUACAAGGGAGUGGAUUGGCAAGGAAGCACCUGGCCUUCGGAGUCAUGUCCUACAUUUGGAUUCUACCACUGAGUUGAGUAAGAUUUUGUUUACCUGAGCUAAGCCCCUGAAUGGAGGAAUUUUCAUCUCUAAACUGGGGAUAAUAAUAUCUGCCCUAUAAAGGAACAGAGUGAAUGAAAUAAGCAUGGCACAGCAACACAGGAAAUCCUCCCUUCGUGUCAGCACUCAUCAGAGUUGAUGCUUCUUGAAGCGGCGACCUUCCGCACCAGCCAAUCCCAUAGGAGCCGGCUAAGUCACAGCUGUAACUCAUCCUGGGUUGAGGAGGGCAGGCCUCCAGGCAGAUGUUACUACUCCUUCCCUGCUCCACAGCCUUUGCUGGGGCCUCUGGGAAAGCUCUUCUACCCUCCCUGGAUUGUUUGCAUGUCUGUCUUCCCACCUAAACUGAAGCAUGUAGCAUCAUGAGGGCCCAGCACAGUAAUCGGCACACACUAACUGUGCAACUGGAUUAAUUCACAUUGCAGUUUUAAAUAUCUCCACGGGUGGCUUUGGGUGUUAAUAAAAGGGGAAAGAAAAUCUUGUAGGUUAGGUCUCUUUUAUUUUUAAUUCCAGAAAACCCAGUAUCAGUGGGCUUAAACAUGGGUAACUGCAAAGUCCAGGAGUGGGGUUGCCUCCAGUGAUGCUACCAGGAACUGACUUCGCUUCCUCUGUCAUUUGGCUCAACUUUUUCUGAUUGAUUCCAUUUCAAACAGGUUGUUUGCCUCUAGCCGGCAAAAUGGCUGCAUAGGUCUGGACCUAAACUCUUGCAGUUUCUAAUCCAGCAGGAAAAAAACAGCAAGAAGUUUUUGUCCCAGUAGGAGACUCGUUUCAACUUUAUUGUGGUCAUGGAUCCAUCUCUGAGACACUCGGGAGGUGGCAAGUUGACUGGCUUGUAUUACUACCUGAGCCAUAGAUAUGGACAACACAUCAGGAGAUGGCUGCCAACACAUCAGGAGAUGACUGCCAUUGGAAAGAUAGUUUAUUACUUGAGUUCCCAAGAGGAUGGGGCGUGCCAGGCCAGGCCACAGCAGCGAAGCACCAGGAGUCAGAAGGAGGAAGGGAGAGCUUGGGGAGGAAGAGGACUUGGUCAGGUCCUGCUGCCCACAGAAGCCUGGGAAACUGUGGUUCUAAAGCCAGGGUCCACUGACUGAUGCCAAUCCAAGAUGCUGUUUCCAAAUCCUCUGUGAGAAGAAAAAUAAGGACAAUAUAUAUGUCAGUGCAAGAAUGCCAGUUGUUCUUUCUUAGAUUCCCAUCUGUGACUUGAUAAAUAUUUGAUGCAGUGGCCAGUCAACAUCCCUACAUUAGUGAAACUUCUGCCCAGGAGCAACUGCACAGCUCUCAGCAAUGAGAUCGGAAUGAAAAGGAUAUUCUUGUGAACCUCGAAGUAUGAGCAGAUGGAGGAAAACUACCAAAAGUUCAAGACCCACAUCAUAUCAGGGUCUGCGCAGGAGGAAGCCAUGAGGUAUCUGACAGACCUGAGAACAGGAGAACUCUUAAGACUGGCACUAGUUCAGUUCAGUUCAGUCACUCAGUCGUGUCCAACUCUUUGCAACCCCAUGGACUGCAGCACACCAGGCUUCUCUGUCCAUCACCAACUCC
Long non-coding RNA from Bubalus bubalis (water buffalo), 2546 nucleotides. RefSeq lists it as uncharacterized. The record is from RefSeq and is a predicted model, not a curated record. The transcript has 5 exons. NCBI's taxonomy places the organism in Eukaryota, Metazoa, Chordata, Mammalia, Artiodactyla, Bovidae.